GAAGCGGCAACAGCUCAAAUUUGAAAUCUGGCGCACGCCCGAGUUGUAAUUUGGAGAGGAUGCUUCAGGGCAGCGGCCGGUCUAAGUUCCUUGGAACGGGACGUCAUAGAGGGUGAGAAUCCCGUAUGCGACCGGUUGGCACCCGUCACGUAGCUCCUUCGACGAGUCGAGUUGUUUGGGAAUGCAGCUCUAAAUGGGAGGUAAAUUUCUUCUAAAGCUAAAUACCGGCCAGAGACCGAUAGCGCACAAGUAGAGUGAUCGAAAGAUGAAAAGCACUUUGGAAAGAGAGUUAAAAAGCACGUGAAAUUGUUGAAAGGGAAGCGCAUGCCACCAGACUUGUCGGCGGUGUUCCGCCGGUCUUCUGACCGGUCUACUCGCCGCCGGCAGGCCAGCAUCAUCUGGGCGCGCCGGACAAAGGCACGGGGAAUGUGGCUCCUCGGAGUGUUAUAGCCCCGCGCACAAUACGGCGCCGCCCGGGUGAGGUCCGCGCUUCGGCUAGGAUGCUGGCGUAAUGGUGGUCUGCGGCCCGUCUUGAAACACGGACCAAGGAGUCUAACAUCUAUGCGAGUGUUCGGGUGUCAAACCCCUACGCGGAAUGAAAGUGAACGGAGGUGGGAAGCGUAAGCUGCACCAUCGACCGAUCCUGAUGUCUUCGGAUGGAUUUGAGUAAGAGCAUAGCUGUUGGGACCCGAAAGAUGGUGAACUAUGCCUGAAUAGGGUGAAGCCAGAGGAAACUCUGGUGGA
This 744-nucleotide ribosomal RNA is filed under the name Teratosphaeria toledana. RNAcentral's name for it is "eukaryotic LSU rRNA". It matches the Rfam family "Eukaryotic large subunit ribosomal RNA", at positions 95 to 871 of the family's 3401-position model. Lineage: Eukaryota; Fungi; Ascomycota; Dothideomycetes; Mycosphaerellales; Teratosphaeriaceae. The record is from RNAcentral.